This 674-nucleotide ribosomal RNA is filed under the name Pseudomonas sp. RNAcentral's name for it is "bacterial SSU rRNA". It matches the Rfam family "Bacterial small subunit ribosomal RNA", at positions 56 to 724 of the family's 1533-position model. Lineage: Bacteria; Pseudomonadati; Pseudomonadota; Gammaproteobacteria; Pseudomonadales; Pseudomonadaceae. The record is from RNAcentral.
UGCAGUCGAGCGGCAGCACGGGUACUUGUACCUGGUGGCGAGCGGCGGACGGGUGAGUAAUGCCUAGGAAUCUGCCUGGUAGUGGGGGAUAACGUUCGGAAACGAACGCUAAUACCGCAUACGUCCUACGGGAGAAAGCAGGGGACCUUCGGGCCUUGCGCUAUCAGAUGAGCCUAGGUCGGAUUAGCUAGUUGGUGAGGUAAUGGCUCACCAAGGCGACGAUCCGUAACUGGUCUGAGAGGAUGAUCAGUCACACUGGAACUGAGACACGGUCCAGACUCCUACGGGAGGCAGCAGUGGGGAAUAUUGGACAAUGGGCGAAAGCCUGAUCCAGCCAUGCCGCGUGUGUGAAGAAGGUCUUCGGAUUGUAAAGCACUUUAAGUUGGGAGGAAGGGCAGUUACCUAAUACGUGAUUGUUUUGACGUUACCGACAGAAUAAGCACCGGCUAACUCUGUGCCAGCAGCCGCGGUAAUACAGAGGGUGCAAGCGUUAAUCGGAAUUACUGGGCGUAAAGCGCGCGUAGGUGGUUCGUUAAGUUGGAUGUGAAAUCCCCGGGCUCAACCUGGGAACUGCAUUCAAAACUGUCGAGCUAGAGUAUGGUAGAGGGUGGUGGAAUUUCCUGUGUAGCGGUGAAAUGCGUAGAUAUAGGAAGGAACACCAGUGGCGAAUGCGA